This 379-nucleotide unclassified non-coding RNA is filed under the name Hevea brasiliensis (rubber tree). Lineage: Eukaryota; Viridiplantae; Streptophyta; Magnoliopsida; Malpighiales; Euphorbiaceae. The record is from RNAcentral.
AAGAUACCAUAGUAACUUUGCCGGACACCCAAAAUUAGAGCUAGCACAAUGACUGAAUGAGGAAAAAACAGAAGCAAUAGGCAAGGUAAAGCCGCGUACCUUCCUAACGUGAGCUGCGGUAAAAAAAACUCAGCCUUCUGCCGAACCAUGAAUACAAUACGCUCUCCAACUACAACAUCCACUAGCAGGAAAAGACAAGCUUAACACACCAAGGUCUAAGGCAUUUUAGUCUGUCAUAGCCUUGUGUCAGUCUUAAGGCGCUUUAGUCGACGGACUCCCUAAUAUACCUCCCUCUCCUCUUAAGCCAACAAUACAUGCCAUACCAAACACACAAAGCAUCCCAUCCUGCAAGAAACCAGCACACAAACAGAUCUCCAAA